UUUCACAUCUGCNAAUUGGAAUGAGAACAAUUUAAAUCCCUUAUCGAGGAUCCNUUGGAGGGCAAGUCUGGUGCCANCAGCCGCGGAUAAUACUANCCUCCAAUANCGUAUAUAAAAGUUGUUGCANUUAAAAAGCUCNUAGUUGGAUUUCUGGCGUUGGGGCCGCCGGCCCGGCAUCCUAGUGGUGCUGUGUUGUUGGUUGGUCUCCGCCAUCUUUUCGGAAGAACCAGCGUGCCCUUCACUGGGUGGNGUUGGCGACUCCGAUCUUUUACUUUGAAAAAAUUAGAGUGUUCAAAGCAGGCUUACGCUGUGAAUACAUUAGCAUGGAAUAAUAACAUAGGACUUUGGUCUUAUUUUGUUGGUUUCUAGGACUGAAGUAAUGAUUGAUAGGGAUAGUUGGGGGUGCUCGUAUUCAGGGGCCAGAGGUGAAAUUCUAUGAUUCCCUGAAGACGGACUUAUGCGAAAGCAUUCACCAAGGAUGUCUUCUUUAAUCAAGAACGAAAGUUGGGGGAUCGAAGACGAUCAGAUACCGUCGUAGUCUCAACCAUAAACGAUGCCGACUCGGGAUCGGUGGACGUUAUUACAUGACUCCAUCGGCACCGUAUGAGAAAUCAUAAGUCUUUGGGUUCCNGGGGGAGUAUGGUCGCAAGGCUGAAACUUAAAGGA
RNAcentral lists this ribosomal RNA (666 nucleotides) under uncultured Cercozoa. Its description in RNAcentral is "SSU rRNA". It matches the Rfam family "Eukaryotic small subunit ribosomal RNA", at positions 494 to 1151 of the family's 1831-position model. The record is from RNAcentral. Lineage: Eukaryota; Cercozoa.